AGUGAACGCUGGCGGCGGGCCUAACACAUGCAAGUCGAACGGCCGCACAGUAAGAGUUUGCUCCUAAGGGUGGCGAGUGGCGGAUGGGUGAGGCAUACAUCGCCUACUUCUUUUUCGUGGGGGAUAUCGUAGGGCAACAUAUGCUACUACAGCAUAUGUUGUACGGGAGAAAGCAGGGGUUCUUCACACCUUGCGCGACUGUAAGAGCCGAUGCCGGAUUAGCUAGUUGGCUGGGUAAAGGCCCACCAAGGCGACGAUCCGUAGCUGAUCUGAGAGGAUGAUCAGCCACACUGGAACUGAGACACGGUCCAGACUCCUACGGGAGGCAGCAGUAGGGAAUAUUGGGCAAUGGGCGAAAGCCUGAUCCAGCCAUACCGCGUGAGUGAUGAAGGCCUUCGGAUUGUAAAGCUCUGUUGUUAGGGAAGAAAAGCAGCGUAUGUAACCCCGGCUGUUCUGACGGUACCCAAAGAGUAAGCACCGGCUAACUUCGUG
Molecule: ribosomal RNA, 492 nt
Filed under: uncultured bacterium
Lineage: Bacteria
Description: partial 16S ribosomal RNA
Rfam family: Bacterial small subunit ribosomal RNA
Source: RNAcentral